Molecule: ribosomal RNA, 253 nt
Filed under: uncultured bacterium
Lineage: Bacteria
Description: partial 16S ribosomal RNA
Rfam family: Bacterial small subunit ribosomal RNA
Source: RNAcentral
UACGUAGGGCGCAAGCGUUAUCCGGAAUUAUUGGGCGUAAAGAGCUCGUAGGCGGUUUGUCGCGUCUGCCGUGAAAGUCCGGGGCUCAACUCCGGAUCUGCGGUGGGUACGGGCAGACUAGAGUGAUGUAGGGGAGACUGGAAUUCCUGGUGUAGCGGUGAAAUGCGUAGAUAUCAGGAGGAACACCAAUGGCGAAGGCAGAUCUCUGGGCCGUAACUGACGCUGAGGAGCGAAAGCAUGGGGAGCGAACAGG